GGCGGCAGGCCUCAAACAUGCAAGUCUAGGGGGCGUAGCAAUACGUCACCGGCGGACGGGUGCGUAACACGUGGGAAUAUACCUUUUGGUUCGGAACAACGCAGGGAAACUUGCGCUAAUACCGAAUGUGUCCUUACGGAGAAAGAUUUAUCGCCAAAGGAUUAGCCCGCGUUCGAUUAGCUAGUUGGUGAGGUAAUGGCUCACCAAGGCAACGAUCGAUAGCUGUUCUGAGAGGAAGAUCAGCCACACUGGGACUGAGACACGGCCCAGACUCCUACGGGAGGCAGCAGUUGGGAAUCUUGGACAAUGGGGGAAACCCUGAUCCAGCCAUGCCGCGUGAGUGAUGAAGGCCUUCGGGUUGUAAAGCUCUUUUACCCGGGAAGAUAAUGACUGUACCGGGAGAAUAAGCUCCGGCUAACUUCGUGCCAGCAGCCGCGGUAAUACGAAGGGGGCUAGCGUUGUUCGGAAUUACUGGGCGUAAAGCGCGCGCAGGCGGUUUCUCAAGUCAGUGGUGAAAGCCCGGAGCUCAACUCCGGAACUGCCAUUGGAACUGUGAAACUUGA
RNAcentral lists this ribosomal RNA (563 nucleotides) under uncultured Alphaproteobacteria bacterium. RNAcentral describes it as "bacterial SSU rRNA". It matches the Rfam family "Bacterial small subunit ribosomal RNA", at positions 38 to 645 of the family's 1533-position model. The record is from RNAcentral. Lineage: Bacteria; Pseudomonadati; Pseudomonadota; Alphaproteobacteria.